Molecule: ribosomal RNA, 419 nt
Filed under: uncultured bacterium
Lineage: Bacteria
Description: partial 16S ribosomal RNA
Rfam family: Bacterial small subunit ribosomal RNA
Source: RNAcentral
UAUUGGACAAUGGGGGCAACCCUGGUCCAGCCAUGCCGCGUGUGUGAAGAAGGCCUUCGGACUGUAAAGCAAUUUAAGUGGGGAGGAAGGGCUUGAGGUUAGGACCAUGAAGUGUUGACGUUCCUGAAAGAAUAAGCCCCGGCUAACUCCGUUCCAGCAGCCGCGGUAAUACGAAGGGUUCAAGUGUUAAUCGGAAUUACUGUGCGUACCGCGCGCGUAGGUGGUUUGUUAAGUUUGAAGUGAAAGCCCCGGGCUCAACCUGGGAACUGCUUUCAAAACUGGCAAGCUAGAGUAUGGCAGAGGGUAGUAGAAUUUCCUGUGUAGCGGUGAAAUGCGUAGAUAUAGGAAGGAACACCAGUGGCGAAGGCGACCACCUGGGCUAAUACUGACACUGAGGUGCGAAAGCGUGGGGAGCAAAC